AGGAAUCAAUGCGAGCUCAAGCAUACAAUGGUACAGCAAAUGAAGUACCUGUAGCGCUCUGUCAGAAGCUGCCCUCACACACCCGCACAGGUUCAAGCAUUUGAGGUUCUUGCACUGGCUAGAGAGGAACACAAGAGCCGAAUCACUGAAAUUGGAGCACCCACUGAUGUUGAGCCUUGUAAGGUGAGGGCACCCGUGCGCCAGAGCGUACAAGGACAGGUCGCUGAGCCUAAAGCUUCUGCUAAGAUCCAGCUCGCGUAAAUCAUGGCAGUUGUUCGCCACGGCCUCCACCCCACUGUCUUCUAGCUGAGCUCUGAUUUGGCGUAGAGAUAGAACUU
RNAcentral lists this long non-coding RNA (338 nucleotides) under Sorghum bicolor (sorghum). RNAcentral's name for it is "long non-coding RNA (SBIC_LNC005807)". Lineage: Eukaryota; Viridiplantae; Streptophyta; Magnoliopsida; Poales; Poaceae. The record is from RNAcentral.